GAGACAUCAAAAGAAGAAGAAGAGAGAAGCAAGGAGAAGAAGAAAGAAGAGAAAGAAGAAAGAAGAGAAAGAAGACUUCAGUGACCCCCUGCCAGAGAUAACAUCUUCCCAUUUGGGAUCCUCUGGACAAAGGGGCGUCGGAGAUGGGCCUGCGUGCCAUCAUGGACCUUUACAUAAAAGGCAAUCAGAAGGGCUUAGAGAGGAUCUACACGGAGGAGGAGGGGAUCUGUGAGAUCAUGGAGUUUGAGGGACCACUGGCGGGCCCUUUAUUUGAAGUG
Molecule: long non-coding RNA, 278 nt
Organism: Xenopus laevis (African clawed frog)
Lineage: Eukaryota; Metazoa; Chordata; Amphibia; Anura; Pipidae
Exons: 3
Source: RefSeq, a predicted model, not a curated record